AACUAGGGAUAGAUAACCUAUUAUUUUAAAUGUAAGUUUAUAGAUGCUAAAUUAGUAAAAGUUAUGUUCUUGAAAAUUAAAAAAUUUGGCGGUAUUUUAGUCUUUUCAGAGGAACCUGUCCUGUAAUUGAUAGUCCACGAUUAGAAAAACUUUAUUUAUUAAUUUAUAUAUCGUUGUAGUUUGAAUAUUUUAAGAGAAGUUAAAUAUUCAUGAUUUUAAAUUAAAAAAUAAAUCAGAUCAAGGUAUAGUUUAUAAUAAAGUAGAGAUGGGUUACAUUAAAAAUAUUUAAGGAUAAUUUUUUUUAAAAGGAUUUGAAUGUGGAUUUGAAAGUAAUUAUAAAUAUAUAUUUAUAAUGAUUUUAGCUCUAAAAUAUGUACAUAUCGCCCGUCGCUUUCAUUUUAAAGUGAAAUAAGUCGAAACAUAAGU
Molecule: ribosomal RNA, 426 nt
Filed under: Callosobruchus maculatus (cowpea weevil)
Lineage: Eukaryota; Metazoa; Arthropoda; Insecta; Coleoptera; Chrysomelidae
Description: partial small subunit ribosomal RNA
Source: RNAcentral